This 441-nucleotide ribosomal RNA is filed under the name uncultured bacterium. Its description in RNAcentral is "partial 16S ribosomal RNA". It matches the Rfam family "Bacterial small subunit ribosomal RNA", at positions 338 to 795 of the family's 1533-position model. The record is from RNAcentral.
CCUACUGGUGGCAGCAGUGGGGAAUAUUGCACAAUGGGGGAAACCCUGAUGCAGCAACGCCGCGUGAAGGAAGACGGUUUUCGGAUUGUAAACUUCUGUUCUUAGUGAAGAAUAAUGACGGUAGCUAAGGAGCAAGCCACGACUAACUACGUGCCAGCAGCCGCGGUAAUAUGUAGGGAGCAAGCGUUAUCCGGAUUUAUUGGGUGUAAAGGGUGCGUAGACGGAAAAGCAAGUUAGUUGUGAAAUCCCUCGGCUUAACUGAGGAACUGCAACUAAAACUACUUCCCUUGAGUACUGGAGAGGAAAGUGGAAUUCCUAGUGUAGCGGUGAAAUGCGUAGAUAUUAGGAGGAACACCAGUGGCGAAGGCGACUUUCUGGACAGUAACUGACGUUGAGGCACGAAAGUGUGGGGAGCAAACAGGAUUAGAUACCCGAGUAGUC